ACUUUUAAAGGGUCAUGGUUAUUUCCCCUGGUCUUANGAAACCCAAUUCUUGGUGCAAAUCCAAGUAAAAGUAAUG
Molecule: transfer RNA, 76 nt
Filed under: Uromastyx aegyptia
Lineage: Eukaryota; Metazoa; Chordata; Lepidosauria; Squamata; Agamidae
Description: partial tRNA-Leu
Source: RNAcentral